GAUUAAUGGCAGUGAGUUUGCUGCAGAGUUCUGCCCGGUGCCUGUUAGCCCCCGGGUGAGACACCCUCCUCACUUUAAAAGGCUGGCAGUAAGAACCGUGGCACAGAAACUGGAACAGGUGUAUGUGCACUGUUCGGUGGCAGUGUGCUCUCCUACCAACACACAACCUGGCAGCACCUGCAGAGGACAGUGCAGCUCAAGCAGGGAGAGGAAGGGCUUUCCAGGUCACCCUUCCGACAGUCUCCAGGGCUAUGUACUUGCUGGACCAGUAUGGAUUGUUGCUCCAGAUCGAAGAUGACACACAUAAACUGGAUUUGCACCUGAAGGCUCUGCUGUGCUGGCUGCUUUCCAAAUGGUGCCACUGGACGCAGGAGCUACUGCUUCCAGGAACCACCAGAACUAUUUGCAUGAAGUUUAAAGACCAGAUGGUGGGACAGCACUGGAAAGUUCUUGAGUCUGCUGGCAGCAUCAGUAAAUCUUGCAACCUGUUGCCUCUCUGAAGUGACUACAGAAGAAAACUUAGCAGAAAACGACCCAAGGCUGCAAAAGAACACUUUGUGUUUCUUCCAGAUGCUCAAAUAUGGACUUGCAGAUCACUAAAAUUAUUCCAGUCCUAAUUAUGGCUGCUUCUUGUAAUACUUCAUAAAGUAGCUGCCAAUCCUCCCAUCUGAAUGUAAAGUGCAAAUCUGAAAAGUCAAAUAAAAAUGCACCACAGCAAUGUAA
Molecule: non-coding RNA, 723 nt
Organism: Zonotrichia albicollis (white-throated sparrow)
Lineage: Eukaryota; Metazoa; Chordata; Aves; Passeriformes; Passerellidae
Source: RefSeq, a predicted model, not a curated record